This is a long non-coding RNA of Phacochoerus africanus (Common warthog), 1271 nucleotides long. RefSeq lists it as uncharacterized. The record is from RefSeq and is a predicted model, not a curated record. Lineage: Eukaryota; Metazoa; Chordata; Mammalia; Artiodactyla; Suidae. The transcript is spliced from 3 exons.
GAGGAGAGUUUGGGGGGGACGGGGCAGGCUCUGGCCUGGGCCUGGUGGGUGACCACCUGGAGGCCAAGGCUGGCUGCCACCACUCAGGCCAAAGUCAGUCACGAGGGGGUCACCCCAGCUCCCUCCUCCUUAUCCCACAGCCGCCCCCCCUCGGGGGGGGGGGCGGCAAGGAACAGCAGCCUGGCUGGGGUGGGGGGAGGCCCGGCGUCUCUCCAGAGGGCCGGGUGUCCUCGCACCGUGUGGCAGCCGCCCCCAGAGGGAUGAUUCAAAGCAGCCUCGGAGGCUCUGCCGACUGGUCCCGGAAAGCCAGCGCCAUCACCCCAGCUGCCUCCUGUGGGCACAGUCCUCCAUCCAGGCCCCACUCGAAAGGAAAACUGGCUCCACUUUGGGAAGGCCCCGGAGGACACAGACCCUGGACCCUGAGAGGAAGCGGAGGGGUGGCAGGUGCCAGACUAGGAUUGCUGUCUGGGCCAUGACCCCCGGUCCCCUGGCAAGGGCACCGCCGGUCCUUCCUUCCACCCCAGCCCAGAAGUCUCCAGGCAGUGCCCCUUCCAGGCCCCUCACCGGGCCCUGGGGGUUCAGGCAUGGCAGUUCUACCACUCGGCCCCUGAGAGCAGCCUGGGUGACAGAGUGUGCUGUGGUCGGCCUCACUUUGCCCAGCCGGUCCUGCUUCUGAAGGCGACGCCUACAGCCCCGCUGCCUGCCGACCCCGAAGCGGGAAGCAGCGCCGGAGCGCAAAGCAAAGGCCACGUGCUUGCUUGUAGAAAAAUACCCGCGUGGCCUGGGAGCGACAGAGGCCCACGCCCCCGGGGGUCAGUUGCGUGUUCACAUAACACGCACUUAGUAUCUAAAGUGUGCAACUCAGUGGCGUCCGUGCACUCCCAGUAUUGUGCAAGCACCGGCCCUCGCUCGUCUCAGAACUUCUUCACCACCCCGUAAAGACCCUCCCCGGAUCCGAGACGUCGUCGCGCCCCGUGUCUCGCUCCCGAAUCCUCCGGGAAUGGCUGACCCGCGCCGCCCCCUUGGACCCACCUCAUCCGGGUCCGCCACGUGAAAAGCACCCGGGGAGGGGGGCCGGCGGCCUUUGUGUCUGGCUGCUUUCACGCUGCAGUGUCCUCAGGUCCAUGCACGUUGCCUCUGCCCCUUCACUCCCUUUUGGGGUGAACGCCAGCCCACAGUUGGAGGUCCAUUUCUCCGUGGACAUUGGGGUCAUUUCCCCCUUUUGGAGAUUGUCAGUAACAUGUCUAUGAACAGGAAAGGUUUUUAGUUUU